This 538-nucleotide long non-coding RNA is filed under the name Solanum lycopersicum (tomato). Its description in RNAcentral is "partial TCONS_00121803". The record is from RNAcentral. Lineage: Eukaryota; Viridiplantae; Streptophyta; Magnoliopsida; Solanales; Solanaceae.
GUCGAUGUGUUAUGUGUAAGGAUCGAUCUUAUAUGUAGCGAAAUAAGUCACUUGAUGGCACUUGUAUCAUUAUAUAUACUGUGGCAUACACGUGAUACACAAGUGAUACACAUUAUCCACAUUUGGCAUUGUUUAUUGUAUACCCUAUGCAUCGUUGUACAUACAAUUUACACACGAUAUACAACAUCCAAUAAUUAUGUAUACAAGUGUAUGCUUGUGUGUAUACCAUGUACAUGUCAAUGCAUGUUAGACGUAUUUCAAGUAAGUAUACAUGUUUUGAAAUAAACAAACUCUUGCUAAUAUUGAAAAAUUUAACUUUUGUACGUUAUCAUCUGUUGUUAGGGGCAUUCAUUAGUAAUAAGUGGCUUUAUUUGCUGAUAAACAUUUUCAAUCAAAUUGACUAUUAAAAGAGGAUCAUACGAUAAAGAAGCAAACUUACAAAUAUGUUACAUCCAAACCCACCAAACAAAAAAUAAAUUAUACCAAAGCUAUAUGUAAAAUUUGGCACAUAAAACAAACUCAUAUAGUAGUAACUUUU